Desulfitobacterium dichloroeliminans LMG P-21439 is the source of this 134-nucleotide regulatory RNA element. It matches the Rfam family "Ribosomal protein L20 leader". Rfam says of the family: This family is a putative r-protein leader autoregulatory structure found in B. subtilis and other low-GC Gram-positive bacteria. It is located in the 5' untranslated regions of mRNAs encoding initiation factor 3 followed by ribosomal proteins L35 and L20 (infC-rpmI-rplT). A Rho-independent transcription terminator structure that is probably involved in regulation is included at the 3' end. Lineage: Bacteria; Bacillati; Bacillota; Clostridia; Eubacteriales; Desulfitobacteriaceae. The record is from Rfam.
AUGUUCAAGUAGAAGCCAUCCGCUUCUCACCUCAUGGCUAGAGUCGAUGAGGUAUCUUCGGGUCCUGAGCUUAAUUUGCUUGCUCACGAUUUGUUAGAAGACGGGUGGAUCUCUGCCCGUCUUUUUUGUUUUUG